AAUUUAGGCGACAACACCAUAACGACAAUAGAAGACAGUGCCUUUAGAGAUUUGAAAAAUUUAGGGAGACUGGAUCUGAGUAAAAACAAGGAAAUUACAUGAUAAUCCUUAUCACUACGAUUUUGAGUUAUUAGGCCUGAUCGAUUUCCUAAAUUCUGGACGUGUCAUCGUACCCGAAAACCCACGUUGCUUCACUCCUGGGAAUUUGAAAGGAACUGAAUUGGUCACUCUGUCAGCUGCAAACUUGGCCUGUCCCAAGAUAACCAAUUCUUCACCUUUGAAAGAAGAUCUGUAGAAUAUCAUGGGAUAAAAUAUCGUAAAUCU
Saccostrea cuccullata (small rock oyster) is the source of this 324-nucleotide long non-coding RNA. RefSeq lists it as uncharacterized. The transcript has 3 exons. The record is from RefSeq and is a predicted model, not a curated record. Lineage: Eukaryota; Metazoa; Mollusca; Bivalvia; Ostreida; Ostreidae.